AUGGAGCGCAACAUCAGUGUUGUCGUUCCUCAUCAGAACCUCGGCGACCUCUGCAGGCGUCACCGUCACCUCCUCGAUCAGCGCCUCGAUCUCCGGAUAGGUGACAUGGUAGUCAAUGGAAUGGUAGUUAUUGGCAAGGAUCCGGAAGGCCUCUGUGGUGCAGUACCCCAUGUGGAUGUGCAUGUCCAUCCUGCCAGGCCGCAGAAGUGCUGGGUCGAGACGCUCCUUGUAAUUGGUCGUGAAGAUGAGGAUCCUUUCCUCCCCACUUGUCGACCACAAGCCAUCUACAAAAUUGAGCAGCCCAGACAAUGUGACCUGUGUGUGCAGGCAGCCACAAAAUUGUCAUCAGCAUAG
RNAcentral lists this ribosomal RNA (354 nucleotides) under Triticum aestivum (bread wheat). RNAcentral describes it as "partial small subunit ribosomal RNA". The record is from RNAcentral. Lineage: Eukaryota; Viridiplantae; Streptophyta; Magnoliopsida; Poales; Poaceae.